AGCUGAGCGGGCUGUCGGCCAUUUUGUGAAGCGGCAAAAGAGAUGACCCACUGCGUGACCUUGGUUCAACUAUCCAUUUCCUGUGACCACCUCAUUGACAAGGACAUCGGCUCCAAGUCCCACCCACUCUGCGUCCUUUUACAGGAUGUGGGAGGGAGCAGCUGGGCUGAGCUUGGCCGAACUGAGCGAGUGCGGAACUGCUCGAGCCCCGAGUUCUCCAAGACUCUGCAGCUUGAGUACCACUUUGAAACAGUCCAGAAGCUCCGAUUUGGCAUUUAUGACAUAGACAACAAGACACCUGAGCUGGGGAUGAUGACUUCCUAGGAGGGGCUGAGUGUUCCCUAGGACAGAUUGUGUCCAGCCAGAUAAUAACUCUACCCUUGAUGCUGAAGCCUGGAAAACCUGCUGGGUGGGGGACCAUCACAGUAUCUGCUCAAGAGAUGAAGGAUAAUUGUAUAGUGACCAUGGAGGUGGAGGCCAGAAAACUAGAUAAGAAGGACAUCCUGGGGAAAUCGGACCCGUUCUUGGAGAUCUUUCGUCAGGGUGAUGGGAAAUGGCACCUGGCAUACAGAUCUGAGGUAAUCAGGAACAACUUGAACCCUACAUGGAAGUGCUUCUCUGUUCCCCUUCAGCAUUUCUGUUGGGGAGACGCCAACACACCCAUCCAGGUGCGAUGCUCAGACCAUGACAGUGAUGGUUCACAUGAUCUCAUUGGUACCUUCUACACCAGCUUGGCCCAGUUGCAAGUAGUCCCGGCUGUUUGAAUGUAUCCACCCUGAGAAACAGCAGAAAAAGAAAAGCUACAAGAACUUUUUUUGUGUCAAGAUUUGCCAGGUAGAAACACAGUAUUCAUUCCUGGACUAUGGGAUGGGAGGCUGUCAAAUCAACUUCACUGUAGGCAUUGACUUUAUGGGCUCCAAUGGAGAGCCCUCCUCCCCGGACUCCCUGCACUACCUGAGCCCAACAGGGGUCAACGAGUACCUGACAGCACUGUGGUGUGGGCAGUGUGAUUCAGGACUAUGACUCAGACAAGCUAUUCCCAGCAUUUGGAUUUGGGGCCCAGGUACCCCCCGAUUGGCAGGUCUCCCGUGAAUUUGCCUUGAACUUCAACCCCAGUAACUCCUACUGCCCAGGCAUCCAGGGCAUUGUGGAUGCUCACCGCAAGCCCUGCCCCAAGUUCGCCUCUAUGGGCCCACCAACUUUGCACCCAUCAUCAACCAUGUGGCCAGGUUGGCAACCCGGCUGCACGUCGGAGGACCGCCUCGCAAUACUUGGUGCUGCUGCCGCUGACUGACGGCGCUGUGAGAGAUGUGGAGGCUGCACGUGAGGCUGUGGUGCGUGCCUCCUACCUGCCCAUGUCAGUGAUUGUUGUGGGUGUGGGGGGCGCUGACUGCGAGGCCAGGGAGCAGCUGGAUGCUGAUGGUGGACCCCUGUGUGCAUGCUCCGGGGAGGCAGCUGCCCAUGACAUAGUGCAGUUUGUUGCCCUACUGCCGCUUCCAGAAUGCCCCUCGGGAGACACCAGCACAGACUGUGCUCGCAGAAGUACCCACACAACUGGUCUCCUAUGUCAAGGCCCAAGGUUGGGCCCCAUUCAAGCCACUUCCACCCCCAGCCAAGAGCCCUGCACAGGCUCCUUAG
Non-coding RNA from Leptonychotes weddellii (Weddell seal), 1638 nucleotides. NCBI's taxonomy places the organism in Eukaryota, Metazoa, Chordata, Mammalia, Carnivora, Phocidae. The record is from RefSeq and is a predicted model, not a curated record.